This 96-nucleotide non-coding RNA is filed under the name uncultured Ruthenibacterium sp. Its description in RNAcentral is "THF riboswitch". It matches the Rfam family "THF (Tetrahydrofolate) riboswitch aptamer". Rfam says of the family: THF riboswitch presents a pseudoknot that joins P1-P2 and the loop of P3 and two THF binding. Lineage: Bacteria; Bacillati; Bacillota; Clostridia; Eubacteriales; Oscillospiraceae. The record is from RNAcentral.
GCAGAGUAAGGGUGUGCGCGUAAAGUGCCGGCUUGACGGGGAGUUGCAGGCCGGACGAAAAGCGAUGCUUGCGGUGCACACUCUGCAUCCCGCUGC